CACAAUGUCAUUUCUUACAAUGCUAUGAUCGAAGGAUACGCAAGGCAUGAGGAGCUUGUGGAAGCAUUUACCCUGUUCAAUAGGAUGAGAUCAGGGUCCCUGCAUCCAAGCCUCUUGACGUACGUUAGUCUCCUUGGGUUAUCAGCGUCAUUAUCUGUCAUUGAUUUAAGCAAGCAGAUUCACUGCCUUGUCAUUAAAGCUGGUGUGGCAUUGGACCUUUAUGCUGGUAGUGCUUUGGUUGAUGUUUACUCAAAGUGCUUGUGUGCUGAUGAUGCCAGAGCUGUGUUUGAUGAGAUGGAUCUCAGGGAUCUUGUCAUGUGGAAUGCUAUGAUUUUUGGAUACACCCAGAAUGCUCAAGGCGAAGAGGCUCUCAAACUCUUCCAUCAACUGUGUGUUGCUGGGAUGAGACCCAAUGAGUUCACUUUUGUUGCGCUUGUCACAGUUGCUAGCAAUCUUGCAAGCCUGUUCCAUGGCUUACAAUUCCAUAGUCAGAUCAUAAAAGCAGGUUUGGACUUUGAUCCUCAUGUUUCAAAUGCACUUAUUGACAUGUAUGCAAAGUGUGGCUGCAUCGAAGAAGCUUGGAUGUUGUUUGACUCGACUCGUGGAAGGGAUGUUGUUUGCUGGAACUCAAUGAUUUCAAGAUAUGCACAGCAUGGGCAUGCAGAAGAAGCCCUUAAAGUGUUCCAGCUAAUGAGAAAUGAGGAUAUUGAACCCAAUUAUGUUACGUUUGUGGGUGUACUAUCAGCAUGUAGCCAUGCCGGGCUCACUGAGGAAGGACUAUGCCAUUUUCACUCUAUGAAGGACAAAUAUGGGAUCGAACCGGGCAUGGAACAUUAUGCUUCUGUGGUUACGCUUCUGGGUCGUGCAGGGAAAUUGCAGGAGGCAAAGGAAUUUAUUGAGCAGAUGCCUAUCGAACCUGCUGCAGUGGUGUGGAGGAGCUUGCUCAGUGCAUGUCGAGAGUUUGGUAAUGUUGAUUUGGGAAGGUAUGCUGCUGAAAUGUCAAUCUUGAAGGAUCCGAAAGACAGUGGGCCAUAUGUCCUGUUGUCCAAUAUAUUUGCUUCCAAGGGAAUGUGGGCUGAUGCGGAGAAGGUGAGAAAGGGAAUGGAUUAUUUUGGGGCAGUAAAAGAACCGGGAUACAGUUGGGUUGAAGUACAUAAGGAGGUGCAUGUAUUUAUUGCAAGAGGUAGGGAGCAUCCGGAGGCAGACAUGAUCUAUUUGGUGUUGGAUGGGCUGAUGCAGCUAAUCAAGGUUUUUGGAUAUGAACCUGAUACUACUGAACUUUUAAUGGAUGAUAUAAAUGAUUGAGGUCAUACAUAGGAUUACAAGAAGAUGAAUUUGUUCUAUAUACAUCAGUGUGGAAAAGAAAUGGGUCAUUUUCAGAUUGAAGCAUUACUGUGAAGAGCCCUGGAGCAUGUUUAUGUAACAGGUUCAGCUGCUAAUCAUGACCAGAAAAGAUGUGCAAGAGAAAGGGAGAGCAGCAGCAGAUUGAUAAGAAGAGAAGGAAGAUGUGUUGCACAGCAUCAAUCUAGGAUCCACUCGGCACUUAUUUAUUCAGAAAAAAGGGCCGGCCACUUAAUUAGGAGGAUGGACCAAAAUGCCUGGAAACAGGGGCUGGUUUCCACAAAACCCUAAUAGGUGAAUUUGGGCUUGAUUCGGGCUUAACUAACAACCUGUUUACAAUAGACCCUGAUCUUAUCAAUAUUCAUACAUACCCUCCUCAGGCUGGAGCAUGAAUGUCAAUCAUGCCAAGCUUGAUAGUUAUAUUUUUCAGCUGAUCUCGUUUCAUAACUUUGGUUAAACAUCAGCCAAUUCAGAAGCUGAUCAGAUUGUUGUUCUUACAAUUCAUUCCAAUAAAUUCACCUAAUUCAGAAAG
RNAcentral lists this long non-coding RNA (1873 nucleotides) under Elaeis guineensis (African oil palm). RNAcentral describes it as "long non-coding RNA (EGUI_LNC022125)". The record is from RNAcentral. Lineage: Eukaryota; Viridiplantae; Streptophyta; Magnoliopsida; Arecales; Arecaceae.